AACGCACCUUGCACCCUCUGGCAUUCCGGAGGGUAUGCCUGUUUGAGUGUCAUUAAUCUCUCAACACAAGAAACUUUGUCUUCUUGUGCUUGGAUGUUGAUGGCUUUGCUGGCGCAAACAACUGUCAGCUCCUUUUAAAUGUAUUAGCAGAGCAGCACAGGACUGGCCUCGGUUUGAUAAGAAAUUUUAUCUAUGCUGUCGCUGGGUUUUCCUAUUUGUGCUCAGCUUCAAAUUGUCUUUGGACUGUCUCUUGAGGCAACAAAAUCUCUAUUGAUCGACCUCAAAUCAGGUAGGACUACCCGCUGAACUUAA
This 312-nucleotide unclassified non-coding RNA is filed under the name uncultured Clavaria. Its description in RNAcentral is "sequence contains ITS2". The record is from RNAcentral. Lineage: Eukaryota; Fungi; Basidiomycota; Agaricomycetes; Agaricales; Clavariaceae.